Stegostoma tigrinum is the source of this 489-nucleotide long non-coding RNA. RefSeq lists it as uncharacterized. The record is from RefSeq and is a predicted model, not a curated record. Lineage: Eukaryota; Metazoa; Chordata; Chondrichthyes; Orectolobiformes; Stegostomatidae. The transcript is spliced from 3 exons.
GCUGCCAUUGAGGGGCAUUUACUCAGUGAGUGGAAGAGGUUUGUUUGAAACAGACCGCAACGGAGAGACCAGCGCCCAGGGAAGCGAGGGAGCAGCAGGCUCCUUUCCGCAGCGUAUCGAGAUGUGAGUCUGGGACACAGAGUGGGGCUCCGAGACCGGCAUUGAUUCGGGCUCAGUUCAGGGAGAACCGGGGGCUGUUGGCUUAUUUAAAAAUCAUAAGCUUUUGGAGUUCUGCUGGUUUGGGAGGUGAAGUUCAAGAAAAGAAACAUCCUAAUAACAGGCAAAAUACUUGAAGAAACCAGUUGAUGCAAUAUUUCCUUGGUACAAAGCCGAGUGUGCGCAGUUGCUUCCAACUAACAGCAGGCACGUUCCUGUGAUCAGAAUGGAGAAUAUCUUUCCCAUAGUCAGAGCGGAUUGAAUCAGACUUACAUUGAGCUCAAUUUCCGGAGACUUGACCAAGGAAACAACCACCCAAUCCCAACUGAGAAA